RNAcentral lists this ribosomal RNA (497 nucleotides) under uncultured bacterium. RNAcentral's name for it is "partial 16S ribosomal RNA". It matches the Rfam family "Bacterial small subunit ribosomal RNA", at positions 28 to 507 of the family's 1533-position model. The record is from RNAcentral.
GAUGAACGCUGGCGGCGUGCCUAAUACAUGCAAGUCGAGCGAACGGACGAGAAGCUUGCUUCUCUGAUGUUAGCGGCGGACGGGUGAGUAACACGUGGAUAACCUACCUAUAAGACUGGGAUAACUUCGGGAAACCGGCGCUAAUACCGGAUAAAAUUUUGAACCGCAUGGUUCAAAAGUGAAAGACGGUCUUGCUGUCACUUAUAGAUGGAUCCGCGCUGCAUUAGCUAGUUGGUAAGGUAACGGCUUACCAAGGCAACGAUGCAUAGCCGACCUGAGAGGGUGAUCGGCCACACUGGAACUGAGACACGGUCCAGACUCCUACGGGAGGCAGCAGUAGGGAAUCUUCCGCAAAGGGCGAAAGCCUGACGGAGCAACGCCGCGUGAGUGAUGAAGGUCUUCGGAUCGUAAAACUCUGUUAUUAGGGAAGAACAUAUGUGUAAGUAACUGUGCACAUCUUGACGGUACCUAAUCAGAAAGCCACGGCUAACUACGUG